GAUGAAGAACGUAGCGAAAUGCGAUAAGUAAUGUGAAUUGCAGAAUUCAGUGAAUCAUCGAAUCUUUGAACGCACAUUGCGCCCCUUGGUAUUCCAUGGGGCAUGCCUGUUCGAGCGUCAUUUGUACCUUCAAGCUUUGCUUGGUGUUGGGUGUUUGUCUCGCCUCUGCGUGUAGACUCGCCUUAAAACAAUUGGCAGCCGGCGUAUUGAUUUCGGAGCGCAGUACAUCUCGCGCUUUGCACUCAUAACGACGACGUCCAAAAGUACAUUUUUACACUCUUGACCUCGGAUCAGGUAGGGAUACCCGCUGAACUUAAGCAUAUCAAUAAGCGGAGGA
Molecule: unclassified non-coding RNA, 337 nt
Filed under: soil metagenome
Description: partial contains 5.8S ribosomal RNA, internal transcribed spacer 2, and large subunit ribosomal RNA
Rfam family: 5.8S ribosomal RNA (bases 1-120)
Source: RNAcentral